This 75-nucleotide transfer RNA is filed under the name Hamadaea sp. RNAcentral's name for it is "tRNA-Arg". It matches the Rfam family "tRNA". Rfam says of the family: Transfer RNA (tRNA) molecules are approximately 80 nucleotides in length. Their secondary structure includes four short double-helical elements and three loops (D, anti-codon, and T loops). RNAcentral also lists the same sequence under 1 other name. The record is from RNAcentral. Lineage: Bacteria; Bacillati; Actinomycetota; Actinomycetes; Micromonosporales; Micromonosporaceae.
GCAGGCUGUAGCGCAGAGGUCGUCGCGCCACUUCGCGAAAUUGGAGGACGCCGGUUCGAAUCCGGCCGGUCUGCC